CAUUCCAUUUGCAAAAGUAGACAACCCAAGGUAUUGCAAGUGGGGUAUGUCCAGUCUUUUAUAGUAGUCAACACUGGCCAAAGUUAGCGUUCAUAUUUGUUUUUGUGUUGAAAAAGCAAACACACAAAUAUUUGGCCAGUGUUUGUGACUAAGUGGCUACUAACAAUGACUGGACAUACCCCAUUUGCAAUACCUUGGGUUGUCUACUUUUUCAAAUGGUAUG
This is a non-coding RNA of Pelobates cultripes (western spadefoot toad), 223 nucleotides long. NCBI's taxonomy places the organism in Eukaryota, Metazoa, Chordata, Amphibia, Anura, Pelobatidae. The record is from the annotation of a GenBank genome assembly.